UGGGGAAUAUUGCACAAUGGGCGCAAGCCUGAUGCAGCGACGCCGCGUGGGGGAUGACGGCCUUCGGGUUGUAAACUCCUUUCGCUAGGGACGAAGCUUUUUGUGACGGUACCUAGAUAAGAAGCACCGGCUAACUACGUGCCAGCAGCCGCGGUAAUACGUAGGGUGCGAGCGUUGUCCGGAAUUACUGGGCGUAAAGGGCUCGUAGGUGGUUUGUCGCGUCGUCUGUGAAAUUCCGGGGCUUAACUCCGGGCGUGCAGGCGAUACGGGCAUAACUUGAGUACUGUAGGGGUAACUGGAAGUCCUGGUGUAGCGGUGAAAUGCGCAGAUAUCAGGAGGAACACCGAUGGCGAAGGCAGGUUACUGGGCAGUUACUGACGCUGAGGAGCGAAAGCAUGGGUAGCGAACAGG
Molecule: ribosomal RNA, 411 nt
Filed under: Actinomycetes bacterium
Lineage: Bacteria; Bacillati; Actinomycetota; Actinomycetes
Description: Actinobacteria bacterium partial 16S ribosomal RNA
Rfam family: Bacterial small subunit ribosomal RNA
Source: RNAcentral